GGCAAGAUGGCCGAGCGGUCUAUGGCGUGUGACUCAAGCGGAAGCUUGCCUGAUUCUUCAGGUCUUCUCAUCCUCGUAAGAGGGCGUGGGUUCAAAUCCCACUCUUGUCA
Molecule: transfer RNA, 110 nt
Organism: Pisolithus microcarpus 441
Lineage: Eukaryota; Fungi; Basidiomycota; Agaricomycetes; Boletales; Pisolithaceae
Rfam family: tRNA
About the family: Transfer RNA (tRNA) molecules are approximately 80 nucleotides in length.
Source: Rfam